Long non-coding RNA from Labrus mixtus (cuckoo wrasse), 453 nucleotides. RefSeq lists it as uncharacterized. The record is from RefSeq and is a predicted model, not a curated record. NCBI's taxonomy places the organism in Eukaryota, Metazoa, Chordata, Actinopteri, Labriformes, Labridae. The transcript is spliced from 2 exons.
CCCAAAGUCCAGGUUGUUUGACUAGUGUGAUCGUCCCUUCCAAGCACAGGAACACAGCGUGGUCAGCCUUCAUUCAGGAGAAACCCCAGAGUGUUGUUUUCUGAUGUGCGGACGCAGACUCGACCGUGCGUCCCUUUUUUUUUAUGUUUGAGUCCGCCUAGUGUGAGUGCAGACCAGCGGGGGGAUGGGGAGGGGGGACAAUCAGGCUUCAGCACGGUACGAGACAACCAAGACUAGUGUGAGUGCGCCCUUACAUGUUGCUUCACAUGAGUCUGAUUAUAGGCACAUUAACACACACACACACUCUCUCUCUCACACACACACACACACACACACACACACACACACACACACACACACACACACACACACACACACACACACACACACACACACACACACACACACACACACACACACACACACACACACACACACACACACACACACACA